Molecule: non-coding RNA, 154 nt
Filed under: Mus musculus (house mouse)
Lineage: Eukaryota; Metazoa; Chordata; Mammalia; Rodentia; Muridae
Description: Eukaryotic large subunit ribosomal RNA
Rfam family: Eukaryotic large subunit ribosomal RNA
Source: Rfam by way of RNAcentral
GUUGUUGCCAUGGUAAUCCUGCUCAGUACGAGAGGAACCAAAGGUUCAGACAUUUGGUGUAUGUGCUUGGCUGAGGAGCCAAUGGGGCGAAGCUACUAUCUGUGGGAUUAUGACUGAACGCCUCUAAGUCAGAAUCCUGCCCAGGCGGAACGAU